UCCCAGCCCUAAACUAUGCGGACUAGACAAUGCAUGGUCCUCGAGGUUAUGCACUGUCAUGAAGGGAAACCGUUAAGUCCGCCGCCUGGGAAGUAUAGCCGCAAGGCAGAAACUUAAUGGAAUAGGCGGGGGAGCACUACAAGGGGUGUGCGCUGCGGUUUAAUUGGAUUCAACCCCAGACAUAUUACCAGGGGAGACGGCAAGAUGAAGGCCAGUCUGAAGGGCUUG
RNAcentral lists this ribosomal RNA (228 nucleotides) under uncultured bacterium. RNAcentral describes it as "partial 16S ribosomal RNA". It matches the Rfam family "Archaeal small subunit ribosomal RNA", at positions 745 to 970 of the family's 1478-position model. The record is from RNAcentral.